This 250-nucleotide ribosomal RNA is filed under the name uncultured bacterium. RNAcentral describes it as "partial 16S ribosomal RNA". It matches the Rfam family "Bacterial small subunit ribosomal RNA", at positions 524 to 773 of the family's 1533-position model. The record is from RNAcentral.
UACGGAGGGAACUAGCGUUGUUCGGAAUUACUGGGCGUAAAGAGCGCGUAGGCGGUUUAUUAAGUUGGGAGUGAAAUCCCAGGGCUCAACCCUGGAACUGCUCUCAAAACUGGUAGACUAGAGUGUGAUAGGGGGUGAUGGAAUUCCUAGUGUAGAGGUGAAAUUCUUAGAUAUUAGGAGGAACAUCGGUGGCGAAGGCGAUCACCUGGAUCAUUACUGACGCUGAGGCGCGAAAGCGUGGGGAGCAAAC